GAUGAACGCUGGCGGCGUGCCUAAUACAUGCAAGUCGAGCGAACAGACGAGGAGCUUGCUCCUCUGACGUUAGCGGCGGACGGGUGAGUAACACGUGGAUAACCUACCUAUAAGACUGGGAUAACUUCGGGAAACCGGAGCUAAUACCGGAUAACAUGUUGAACCGCAUGGUUCAACAGUGAAAGACGGUCUUGCUGUCACUUAUAGAUGGAUCCGCGCCGCAUUAGCUAGUUGGUAAGGUAACGGCUUACCAAGGCAACGAUGCGUAGCCGACCUGAGAGGGUGAUCGGCCACACUGGAACUGAGACACGGUCCAGACUCCUACGGGAGGCAGCAGUAGGGAAUCUUCCGCAAUGGGCGAAAUCCUGACGGAGCACCGCCGCGUGAGUGAAGAAGGUCUUCGGAUCGUAAAACUCUGUUAUUAGGGAAGAACAAAUGUGUAAGUAACUAUGCACGUCUUGACGGUACCUAAUCAGAAAGCCACGGCUAACUACGUG
RNAcentral lists this ribosomal RNA (497 nucleotides) under uncultured bacterium. RNAcentral describes it as "partial 16S ribosomal RNA". It matches the Rfam family "Bacterial small subunit ribosomal RNA", at positions 28 to 507 of the family's 1533-position model. The record is from RNAcentral.